This 590-nucleotide ribosomal RNA is filed under the name uncultured Acidobacteriota bacterium. RNAcentral's name for it is "SSU rRNA". It matches the Rfam family "Bacterial small subunit ribosomal RNA", at positions 243 to 824 of the family's 1533-position model. The record is from RNAcentral. Lineage: Bacteria; Pseudomonadati; Acidobacteriota.
AGCUAGUUGGUGAGGUAAUGGCUCACCAAGGCUUCGAUCGGUAACCGGCCUGAGAGGGCGAUCGGUCACACCGGAACUGAGACACGGUCCGGACUCCUACGGGAGGCAGCAGUGGGGAAUCUUGCGCAAUGGGCGAAAGCCUGACGCAGCAACGCCGCGUGGAGGAUGAAGGCCCUUGGGUUGUAAACUCCUGUCGGCUGGGAAGAAAUCGUUUGUGGCUAAUACCCGCAGACGUUGACUGUACCAGCAAAGGAAGCCCCGGCUAACUCUGUGCCAGCAGCCGCGGUAAUACAGAGGGGGCCAGCGUUAUUCGGAAUUAUUGGGCGUAAAGGGCGCGUAGGCGGCCAUGCGUGUCUUCCGUGAAAUCCCUCGGCUUAACCGAGGACGUGCGGAAGAAACUGCAAGGCUCGAGUCCGGAAGAGGGGGGCGGAAUUCCCAGUGUAGCGGUGAAAUGCGUAGAUAUUGGGAGGAACACCAGUGGCGAAGGCGGUCCCCUGGGCCGGAACUGACGCUGAUGCGCGAAAGCGUGGGUAGCAAACGGGAUUAGAUACCCCGGUAGUCCACGCCGUAAACGAUGGGCACUUGGUGUC